This 17-nucleotide unclassified non-coding RNA is filed under the name Mus musculus (house mouse). RNAcentral's name for it is "oocyte_clustered_small_RNA13497". The record is from RNAcentral. Lineage: Eukaryota; Metazoa; Chordata; Mammalia; Rodentia; Muridae.
AAGACCAUGAUGCCCUG